RNAcentral lists this small nucleolar RNA (168 nucleotides) under Dicentrarchus labrax (European seabass). RNAcentral's name for it is "Small nucleolar RNA SNORD97 (ENSDLAG00005020348.2)". It matches the Rfam family "Small nucleolar RNA SNORD97". The record is from Rfam by way of RNAcentral. Lineage: Eukaryota; Metazoa; Chordata; Actinopteri; Moronidae.
AUGCCCAGUGAUUAUAAAAAGACGCGUUAUUCUGAGGAACAAAACCUGCCACCAGUCUUUCUUCUGUCUUUUACUCUGUCUUUGAUCUCUUAUCUUCCUCCACUCCCUCUCUCUUUUUUUCAAACUGGUAGCUGGUCCGCUGAAUGCGAUUAUGAGAUAUGAGGGCAU